Malus domestica (apple) is the source of this 102-nucleotide small nuclear RNA. The record is from RefSeq and is a predicted model, not a curated record. Lineage: Eukaryota; Viridiplantae; Streptophyta; Magnoliopsida; Rosales; Rosaceae.
GUCCCUUCCGGGACAUCCUAUAAAACUGGAACGAUACAGAGAAGAUUAACAUGGUCCUUGAGCAAAGAUGACAUGCAUAAUUGAGAAAUAUAAACAAUGACU